UUACGGGAGGCAGCAGUGAGGAAUAUUGGACAAUGGGCGCAAGCCUGAUCCAGCCAUGCCGCGUGCAGGAUGACGGUCCUAUGGAUUGUAAACUGCUUUUGUACAGGAAGAAACACUCCCUCGUGAGGGAGCUUGACGGUACUGUAAGAAUAAGGAUCGGCUAACUCCGUGCCAGCAGCCGCGGUAAUA
RNAcentral lists this ribosomal RNA (189 nucleotides) under uncultured Bacteroidota bacterium. RNAcentral describes it as "uncultured Bacteroidetes bacterium partial 16S ribosomal RNA". It matches the Rfam family "Bacterial small subunit ribosomal RNA", at positions 339 to 525 of the family's 1533-position model. The record is from RNAcentral. Lineage: Bacteria; Pseudomonadati; Bacteroidota.